CGAUGCCCGAAAGCAUUGUCACAGCCGUGUCUGUGCUCCUCCGAGCAGGGGGACGCUGCAGUCUGAACGUCGGGGCCGCCUGGAUUAUGCCUUCUCACCCAACAGGCCACGCAAGUUCUUCGGCUGGGGGAGGACGCUGCGGAAGAUCCUGGAGACGGGGUUCCUCACCUCAUCUCAACGGAGGUUAAACACUCCCCGGCGAGCACCCUGCUUCUGGUUCCGGUGCUCCUGCAUCUUGCCAUCACUUCUGCGACCCUGAAAGAAAAAGUAAGGGAGGGUAAAGGAAGGAGCAGGGAAACGUCCUCAGCGUAAAGUCACUGAAAUGUGAUUCCUCGUGGAAGACGGCCGUGGUUCUCCACUCAGGUGCUGGCCAGUACAAGACAGAAAAAGCAGAAGAGCAAGGAAGGAUAAAGGGUGGGAGGGGGAAACAAGAUUGUCACUAUUCAUAGAUGGAAUAUUCCAUAAAAAUUUAAAACUGAAUUAAUAAUAAAGUGUAUCAAGAUUGCUGAUACAAAUUCUACAUACCAGCAAGAGGGGCUUUUCAAGGCUUUUUUUUAAAAGAGCCAUUUAUAAUAACAGGAAAAAAUAAUUUCCCUUGCAAUAAUUAUAACAAAAUGACUUAUAAAGAAUCUUAGAAGAAAAUGGGUAACUUUAACAAAAGACAUUAAAGAGGUCCUUCCUAAAAGGGACAUAUGAGCUGGAUAAGACAGCUAAAUAUAACUGAAAUGUCAACUCUCCUAAAAUUGAUUUUUUCAUUCAAGGGAUUUCCAAUCAAAAUUCCAACAACAUUUUUAAAUAAAACUUGACAAGGUGAUUUUAAAAGUUUUAAUCAAAAACAAAGUAACAAGAAUAAAGAAAGACACUCCAGAAGAGUAAAAGAUUUGCUUUCCUAAAUAUCAAACCUUAAUGUAAAACCAUAAUAAGUAAGUUAGUUUGGUAUUCACACAGGAACAGAGUAAAAAGCUUAGAAACAUACUUAGGCAUUAAGAGAAAUAUGACAGAGGUAUUUAGAGAGCUCAGUGGGGAAAGCUGGGCCAUUUAAAAAAAUGUUACUGGGACAAGUGGUUAUCUACAUUAAAAAAAUUUAUCUGUACUUCAUACUGUACACAAAUAUCAAUGACAGAUGAUUGAGGGUAUAUGUGAGAAAAUCAAACCUUAGAGUUUUUAGGAAGAAAUAUAACAGAGUGCCUUUAUUACCUCAGGAUAGAGAAGAAUUCCUUAACCAGCAAAUAGAAAGUACUCUCCAUAAAAUAACAGAUGUCACAUUAAAAUGAAGAACAUCCAUUCACCCAAGGCAAGCUACAUAAAUCAGUCAAUAUUUGCCACACAGAUAAUUGUCAUAAGUUGUGUGUCCAGGAUAUAUAAAGAACUACUGACAAUAAAAAAGGAAACAACCUAAAAAGAAAAGUGGGUGGAUUGGCUUAAAGAUGGUGAUGUGAGAGAUGAGACACAAACCUCCUCCCAAAACCACACAUAAUAUGAAAAUAUAGCAAACACAACUAAUACUGAAAAAGCAACAGGAAAGAAGGCUGCGGCAGACUGCCUACACCUGGGAAACAGAGCAGACCUUACUGGAAAAGGGUAAAGUACCAACGCCCUGAUCCGGCAGGACCCAAACCCUUCCCCCACCCCAGCUCACUGGCAGGAAGAAGAGAAAUAUAGCAGGGAGUGGGUGGAGGCCUACAACUGCUGAACAUCGAGCCCUGGAGAUAUUCUCUGGGAGCAAAAACUUACAUUACAUGGUACUCUGGAGAUUACUGGGGUUAGAAAGCUAAGACAGGCAGAAUACUUGGAGAGACUGAGAUUUCAGACACUUGUGGAGAACAGGCACCAAAAAACAGCCACUUUGUAACAGAAGGUGAGCACUCUUGCGAGACUUCUAACAGUGAGAGGGCUGCUAAAGGGGCAAGGGCUGUACAGAGCUUGAUGCUCAGGAGAAAGGACAGGUGGACAAAAUUGUCCCAGUGCAAUCAGCCCAGAGGUUGGGAACUUUCAAGAACUUCAAGCACUCCAUCGCACUGGCUGGCAACACAGCUAUGAGGCCCCCUACCAUGAUACACAGCCUGCCACUCAUUCCCCCCGGCUGGCACCAGCUUGCAAACAGGCUACCCCCACCACUGUGCCUGGCCAGCCAGAGGACGGACCUGGCUAUGGCAGCUACAAGUCCAUAGCAUAGAGGCUCCGCCCUGCAUGCUCAGCCCACUGGCCCUGGCAUGGGAAACAGGAAAGAGCCCUUUCCUCCAGACAAGCACCAGCACCACUCACCUGUGAUCCCCGCCAUCUCUCCAGGGGCUGAGCACCUUGAGAGAGUAGAGCUUCUGAAUACUAGAGGGUGUCACCUACAAAUGUGAAAUGUCAAAGGAACCUGGUUCAAACCCAAAUCCCACAAACACUAGAAAGAUGGCCAAGUGAAACUGAAGUCACCAAUCCCACUGAAAGAGACCUCAAAAUAAAAAUCAUAAAAACACUCAUGGAGCUACAGAAAAAUAUUCAAGAACUCAGGGACAAAUUUAGGACAGAUAUUCAAUCAUUAAGAAAUUCGGUAUCUUUCUUAAUGAUUAGAGAAUAGAAAUUAGAGAAGAGGAAUAUGAAGAAGCUGAGGCACAGAGAGAAAAAAAGGAUCUCUAGGAAUGAAACAAUAUUGAGAGAACAUUGUGACCAAUCCAAACAGAACAACAUUCACUUUAUAGGAGUACCAGAAGAAGAAGACAGAGAGAAAGGGAUAGAAAGUGUCUUUGAGGAGGUAAUUACUGAAAACUCCCCAAAUCUGGGGAAGGAGAUAGUCUCUCAGGCCAUGGAGGUGCACAGAUCACCCAAAACAAAGGACCCAAGGAAGACAACACCAAGACAUAUAGUAAUUAAAAUGGCAAGAUCAAGGAUAAGGACAGAAUAUUAUAAUCACCCAGAGAGAAAGAAAAGAUCACAUACAAAGGAAAACCCAGCAGGAUAUCAUCAGACUUCUCAACAGAAACCUUAGAGGCCAGAAGGGAGUGACAUGAUAUAUCUAAUGGAAUGAAACAGGAGGGCUUCGAACCAAGAAUACUCUACCCAGGAAGACGAUCAUUUAAAUUUGAAGGAGGGAUUAAACAAUUUCCAGAUAAGCAAAAGUUGAGAGAAUUUACCUCCCACAAACUGAUCCUACAUGGAGGGACUGCUAUAGAUGGAAAUGUUCCUAAGGCUAAAUCGUUGUCACCAGGGGAAAUAAAACCACAGUAAAGAAAGUAGACCAAUUAAUUACUAAGCAAAUGCAAAAUCUAAUCAACUACCCUCAAAGUCAUUCAAGGGAUGGACAAAGAAUACAGAAUAUGAUACCUAAUAUACAAAGAAUGGAGGAAGAAGAAAAAGGAGGGGAAAAAAAAGAACCUUUAGAUUGUGUUUGUUAUAGCAUACUGAGUGAGUUAAAUUAGACUCUUAGAUAGUAAGGAAGUUCCCUUGAACCUUUGGUACCCAUGAAUCUAAAGCCUAGAAUGGCAAUAAGUACCUACCUAUUGAUAAUCAGCCUAAAUGUAAACAGUCUGAAUGCACCAAUCAAAAGACACAGAUUCACUGAAUGGAUAAAAAAACAAGACCCAUCUCUAUGCUGCCUGCAAGAGACUCACUUCAAACCCAAAGACAUACACAGACUAAAAGUGAAGGGACGGAAAAGAUAUUUCAUGCAACUAAUAAGGAGAAAAAAGCAGGAGAUGCAGUACUUGUAUCAGACAAAAUAGACUUCAAAACAAAGAAAGUAACAAGAGACAAAGAAGGACAUUACACCAUGAUAAAGGGGUCGAUCCAACAAGAAGAUAUAACCAUUAUAAAUAUAUAUGCACCCAACAUAGGAGCAACUACAUAUGUGAAACAAAUACUAACAGAAGUAAAGAGGAAAUAGAAUGCAAUGCAUUCAUUCUAGGAGAAUUCAACACUCCACUCACUCCAAAGGAUCAACCAGACAGAAAAUAAGUAAGGAGACAGAGGCAUUGAACAACACAUUAGAAUAGAUGGACCUAACAGACAUCUACAGAACUCUACACCCAAAAGCAGCAGGAUACACAUUCUUCUCAAGUGCACAUGGAACAUUUUCAAGAAUAGAUCAUAUACUAGGUCACAAAAAGAGCCUCAGUAAAUUCAAAAAGAUUGAAAUUGUACCAACCAGCUUCUCAGACCACAAAGGUAUGAAACUAGAAAUAAGUUACUCAAAGAAAAUGAAAAAUCCCACAAACACAUGGAGUCUUAACAACAUGCUCCUAAAUAACCAAUGGAUCAAUAACCAAAUAAAAACAGAGAUCAAGUAAUAUUCAGAGACAAAUGACAACAAUAUUUUAACACCGCAAAAUCUGUGGGAUGCAGCAAAGGCCGUGCUAAGGGGGAAGUAUAUUGCAAUACAGGCCUACCUCAGGAAAGAACAAUCCCAUAUGAACAGUCUAAACUCACAAUUAAUGAAACUAGAAAAAGAAGAACAAAUGAGGCCCAAAGUCAGUAGAAGGAGGGACAUAAUAAAGGUUAGAGCAGAAAUAAAUAAAAUCGAGAAGAAUAAAACAAUAGAAUCAAUCAAAGUAGGAGCUGGUUCUUUGAAAAAAUAAACAAAACAGAUAAACCCCUAGCCAGAUUUACCAAUAAAAAAAGAGAGUCUACACACAUAAACAGAAUCAGAGAUGAGAAAGGAAAAAUCACCACAGACACC
Long non-coding RNA from Manis pentadactyla (Chinese pangolin), 4663 nucleotides. RefSeq lists it as uncharacterized. NCBI's taxonomy places the organism in Eukaryota, Metazoa, Chordata, Mammalia, Pholidota, Manidae. The record is from RefSeq and is a predicted model, not a curated record. The transcript has 3 exons.